CCGCGGGGUGGGCCGGCUGCGACGGCGGAGGAGCAGCGAAGCGAGGUGGGCCCGGCUGUGCGUCCGUGUCAGAAUCGGCCGCGGUCCGUGGGAGAGGCAGAAGCGAGCGGAGUCCGAGGUUUUGCUGGAGGACAGCGGUGUGGGUGCAGUAAAUCACGGCCAGACUGCAGGUGAUGUGCGGUGAGCUUGGAAGCGCUGAGCCCUCCUUGCCGUUACUGUGCAGGUACUUAAAAUGUGUGUUGCUGCUGAAAAUCUUUACAUGUGUUCAGGCACGGAACUUCCUGACCUUCUGAGCUGAUGGGCUCCUUCACAGCGCAGACACCUUCAUGACCCCUUUAAAAUUCCUGUUAAAAACAGGGGCUGCGGUCACGUUCCCAGCACACGGGUUCUGCACGGUGUUUGUGGGAGGAGCUGCAGUCCAGAGACCUGACCUCAGGACGUGCUUGACAUCCAGUAUUGCCCGGGACGAGAGGAAGACAAGAGGCAACAUUGUAUGAGGCUACUGAAAAUAGCAAAUCAAACAGUUGGUCAGGAAACCAGCUGAGGACUGUGCCAUCCACUGAACCGGGAAGAGUCUCACGCUCGUCCUUCCAUACAUGGAGGUACAGAAGAGAUGAUGAAAGCAUUCUGGUGUGCUGGGAUUCCCGUUCUCCUAUGGGAGUUCACUCUAGUCUGCAUUCUCGUAGCUGUGCUGCUCAACUCGAUGUGGCUGUUCCUGCUGUGAUCUUCAGUGAACAUCACCGUGAUUGCUGACAGCUCGCAGAAACAGAACAUUUCAACUGCUUUUCUUAAAGCUCAACUCUAUGUAAAGGAGAAGUGGCUAGAAACCCCAAACUGGGUCCUGGGUCUUGCUUAACUCUGUAAAGCACACUGACUUGCUGACACGACUCCAGUUAAGGUAUGGUAUGAAUCAGGAGCUCCAACAGCCGCUGUGGAAUGAGCGCGUUCACGUGAAGUCAUCCUGCAGCAGCUAUUGCAGAAUAGUCAACUGCUCUGUGUAAGCAAGCCCUAAAAGACAAUCCUGGUCCCAGCAGUUGUGUGAUUAGGUAAGGGAGGUAAUGGGCACAAGACAGGCACACUCUGUCUGCUAAGGAUGGGCUGGGAGCAAAGAAACUUGUGCUGCUCAAGGCUGCCUUGCAGGUCGCUGCCUUUGGAGUUGUUUGCUUCAGGACUUUCUGCUUUGAUGCCUUUGAUUUCUAAGACCGGUCCAGCAUACGAAGCCACAGACUGUUUCCUCAUGUAGCUGAUGCAGUGUCUUCACCUGAUACCAAAACAAGAUGUGAGGAAUUGAACGUUUCCCCUGGUGAGAUGUGUGGAUGGAACUGACCUGCUUUUAAUCCAGUAUCUACCGAUCAAAUAAACAGAAGCACCACCACUACUGACAAGAAUGACUGACGCUUAGUACUGGAAACAGGAAGAUCCAGAAGGGGUUUUUGUUCCUAUGUUACAAUUUUUAUCUUUAGUAUUCACAUCUUACUCAAAGUAAGAAUAUUUGUAUGUUAAAAUAACCCCCUUUUUGCUUUGUAAUACUGGAUUGAGCCUGCCCAGCUUCUUCCUAUCACAGCUCUGCCCCGUGGAGAGAACCCAGUGGUGGGUGUGGAGGUCAGAAGAGCUCCUCCAAAUGCAGGGGAUGUGCACAGGACAAUCCUGCAGCUCUUCCUGAAGCUAGUGCAUGGAUGAACGGAUCGUCUUCUCAUGUGCUAUGGGAACUCUGCCUAUAUAAAUGUCUGACAAACUCUUCCAGUGCUUUAUAACCGUGUUUCUUCCACCUUCUGGUAAGCCACAAUUUCCUGCUUGUGCAUCUCUGUCAUUUAGCAUCUCCAGCCUGGCUUGGAAAAUGCAGAAAUUCCUAAAAUAAAUGUGUUUUGAAAAGUAGACACGGGAUUUUUUCAGUCAGUCUCAAUGGUGCUGCCCUAGACUUCUUGAAGUUGCCAUCCCUAGAGUAUGCUAAGUAGUAUGAACAUUACAAUAGACCCUGCCAAAAUAAAGCAUUCCCUACUCGCAUGCAGAUAAUUCUGCAUGGACAGCAGAAGAUGUACUAAGCUUGAGCCACCAUUCAUAUUUCUCUGCACAUCAAAGCAACUGCUCCAGAAUCUUUCAAGCACCAGUGUUCCAAGCUGCAAGGAGCCUCUGGCUGCACAGGACCUUUCUGAACUGCCCUGUGAUGUUAUCAACUGCUUUCAGUGCACAACAUCUGCCUGGAUAAUUUAAUCUGGUACAUUCAUUCAAAUAGAAAUUGUGUGUCAGCCACAUGAUCUGAAUUAGACCAGUGCAGGAAAUAACAUUUUGCAGGCGAAUUUGGUGCCUUCUGUCACUGGAGCCCUUUGCUACUUUUUGAUGAAUAGCUGUUUCAUGGAGGAAAUGUGGUUAUUAAGGCAAACUUUCUUCAUGAUUUAAAUUGCUUUCAGCAAAACUGAAGAAAUCCAAGCUGCCAAGCAACCUUUAGUUUUAGCAGAUUACUGCUGGGCUUUGUCUUUUUAAUUAGGCCAGUGUUGAUCAAGUUUAAUUAAGAGAACUGGUGAGACAGCCAGGACAGCCUUCUUAAGAGCUGGACUGUGUUCUGGGGCCCAGCUGGUAUUGGUUGAGAUUUAGUUCUCUAUAAAGAGAAAUAAAACAAAAUAAAGCCUUAACAAAAUGAAUAGACGCCUUGAGUCACAGCACACAAACUCAUCAGCUGGUGUAGGACAGUGGGACUUCUCUACCUACCUUUCUCUGCAGCAUCAAGUUUUAAAGCUGGUAACAGGAUGUGACUUCUGAACCUGACAGCCCUGCAGACAGAAAUUCCUCAUUGCUGAGGAUGAUUCUGCCUUAUAUGCAAUUUGAAAAAAAAAAAGAAGUACAUAGUUUUACUUGUCUAUUAAAGACACAAGAGAAAGAUCCAUGGUUUUCCAUGUAAAUAACUGUCAGAAGAGAUGAGUUAAAUUCCACAUUUGAAUUCUUGAUAUUCCUCCAUUUGUCAUUGUGCCUUCAAGCUGAUGUGCUGUAAUUAUCCCUGAACGGCUCCCUCAUGACCAGGGCACCUGCUGAGCAUCACCUAUUAGGCUUUUACAUCUAUAAACUUCACCUGCUCCUUCCCUCUGUGCAAAACCAAACUGGUGCUUUCUCUAAGCUCAAAAGGAACCUGUUCACAUAUGAAGAGUAAAAGCAGAGAAUUCAGAGUUGUAGCAAUCAAGUUUAUAAAUCAGGUAAGCCCAGGGAGAGGGGAACAAUACAUUUAUUAGUCUGCAAUUAAGGGAGGGCAGGGAAGUUUUCUCAGACAACUCAGACUCCUGAGGCUGCUCAUCUGCCUCGUGAGAGAAGCAAAGUACACAGCUUCACUGUGAUCCUGAAUCUGAGGCUGAGCAGUUUGUUUUGCCCUUGAGCUUCCUGUGACUUCAGUGCAGCAUUUUUAAAGGGAAAAUUGAACAAAGAUUUAUGGGUUGCCACAGCCUGUAGUUUUCAAACAUAUUGCUAGUUCAUCCACUCCUCCCACAGUGGACUAACAUGCCCUAAUUAUUGCCAGCACACACAAAAAGCAUUUUUAAUCAUUAUAUCAUAAAGUGGGACAGAAGUGGACUAAUGAUACAGAAGGGACCAAAUACAUUUUCAGAGCUCCAGUACACAGGACAGGGUUUGACCAUCAGUCUAUAGGCAGAAAGGUUGUCACAGACAGCCAGUCACAAUAUAUUCUGAUCUUUUGCUCAGCACAGAUACUACCUGCAGUACCAAGCUUUGGCUCCAUGACAGAUGAGAAGCAAAUCUAUGGAUUCCAGUGCUUGCACUUCCAAGUUGUUAUGGCUUGCUAUUAAAUGGGGAAAGGAAGCCAAAGGAAAUCAUGUGCAUUGGAGUCAAAUACCAUUUUUAGGAGUGGGAACUGCAUGAGUAUUUCACCAGUGAUUAAAAUAGCCAGGGACCAGGGCACACUAAUGAUUAAUGAUCUCUUUCUGCAAGCUGAGGACAUGUCCUACAGGAUCUGGCCCUCCUGAGAGACAGUCAUGAAGUACAGUUUGGCGGAGCAUAUUUAAAAGGCAUGAGCAAAAAAGUACAGAAACAACAGUACAAGGCAUUACUACAAGAAAACUCUGGUUUCAAGUGAGGAGCUUCUGGGAGUUCCUCUUUUUUUUUUUUCCCCAGCUGCAGGGAAGGGUGAAAACUAUCAGCUAUAAAAAUAUUACAGUUUAUGCUGUUAAACAAAUCAUAAUUUGUCAACAGGUAGCUGAAUUAUGUCCAACUCCACUGAGAGCCAAAACUGAUCUUUUUUCCCAAUGCUGUUGUAUAGCAACAGCUGGCAGAACACUGUCAAGCAAAGCUGUGCUGGGCUGAUAAAUAAACCAAUGAUCCUCAGUGUAGGAGACAAACCAUCUCAUGGAGAGACUGCAGCUCAUGCUGGGAUGUGUUGAACAAAUACUUGUUAACAAUCUGCACACAGGCAGAGUUGCUUUAUGAAAAGGUGCUAGAAAAAUGUUAUUUGAAUAAAACACAGCAUUCCUAGGGUUAUCAAAAGAACCAGCCAGGUUUUAGGUCUCAGAGUCUCUAAAGCACAGCAGCAAAUCAGUGAACAUUAGCAUUUCUUGUUCAUUCAAAUGGAGAGUUUGGUAACUGGAUUCUGGAUGAGUGGAAAGACCCAACAAGUUCUAAGAUACAGCAAGGCAAGCCAGAAAACAAACAGAGUGAUAUCUGCUUCUGUUUGUUUCAGAGCUCCCAAAUUCUGCUGGAGAAUUUUUCACUUUUCAGUUGUUUCUGAGGCAGGAGGAGACUUGCUCUGAUUGCAGAUGCUGUGUUGCCUCUAAGCCAAUCAGACUACACUGUCCCAUGUGGGAGAAGGAAGGGUAACAAGUGAAAAUGUCCCAUCAGGAGAUACAGCUUUAUGCUGGAGCUCAGAUCCUUGUGCAGCCACCAUAUUAUGCUCUGUGUUUUGUACUUAACACCAUGCUGGUUUUGUCCUUGCUUUGCAGGCAUUUUAUUUUUAUCAUGGGUAAGAACAGGAAUGUGUGCAUUUCUGUGAAAAAACGAGCACAGGGCUGCAAGCUCCAUCUCAGUGCAAAUAAUAUUUUGGCAGGAAACCUGCAGGAGAUUAAAUUAGGGACCUAAAGACUGAAUAUUAAAACAUUUCAAACUUUUGAGUUCUUUUAAAUAAGCAGCAACAAAAUGAAGCAGUCUGACAAAAUUAGCAGGCCCAAAGUGCUAAAGGAAUCCUCUAAGAUUCAUUUAUUUACUGAUGCAGAUUUAGGAGAACUUUUUAGGCUAUUUGUAUUAGUAGCUGUGUAUGUCAACAUGCUAUUUCCUCAAUGCAUUCUGAGUCCAGAUUAGCUAAAGUUUUAGGUGUUGGCAGACUUGCUACAAUAGAAGGGAAAUGCCACUGGAAUAACUUUAAACAUGAUCCAAUCCCUGAUGAUUCACUGGAUGUGUUAAAAUUUCCUCUGAGACCAUGUAAGUAAUGCAGGGACUGGAGUGCAGAGUGCCUGUGACUCAGCUCUCUGCGAGGCAAAGGGAGGAUGUCAGAAUUACUCACAGGGACAGCAGGAAUCUCAUUUAUCUAUUUAUAGGCAAGGCUGAGAUGAGCUCGUGCCAUUGAAGAGCUGAAUUUGCCAGUUCUCCUUGGGGGGAGGAAAAGGGAAGGCCCUACCUUUAGCUUCCAAACCCAAGGACUCUGGCCAGCUGCAUUUUCCUGCCCUUGGAUGAGCAGCACGGGGCACCUGGUGCAGACCUGUUGGAGAGCAGAGCAGCCCCGGCCCCUGGCACCAGUUGCUACUCAGCCCCUGCUCCAGAGGGGCUGCAGGACGGGGAGGUCCCAUGUCCUGAGCUCAGGGGACUCUUCCCACUGCAGGAGCAUCACUGCAGCAAGUGUGUAUGUCAGCCAGCUUCAUUUAAGAGGUGCCAGUUAGGUGCCAGCACUCACUUUGCCAAAAGCCUGUUUACUGCUUCUCUUCAAAGAGGCACAACAUUAUUCCCCGUGCGGGCGUUUUGCCUAACAGGCCAUCAGAAAAGGAGAGCUCCAAGGGACAGAGCGGGGAGCUGAGCACACUGCCUGCCUCCAGCCUCUGCACAGCCUGCAAGGCACUGACAGUGUCGAGACAGCAAUUCCUGAAGGUGUGCUUUCAGCAAUGUAUAUUUAGGUUUGGGAGGUGAAAGAUGGUCACAUUUGGGGUAAAAAGCAAGAGCUCAAGCCCACAGCAAAAUGUUUUAGUGACACUUUUUCUGAUACAGCCAGCACUUAGCAACACAAACUGCAGCCUUGUUUUCUUACCGAGAAAGAAACCACUCCAUGGUACGCACCGCACACCGCACUGCUCCAUCACUGGGAACACCUUUGUGGUGUUGGUUGGGCAGUUCUUUCCACUCCCUGCAUUUAGCUGCUGUGGCUAAUUCCCUUCCCAAAAAAGAAGUUAUCUAGGAAUGCAGGGCUCUGGAUUACUGAUCCAGCCUCCUACUGUUACAUUCAAUUACAUCAUAUUGUGCUUUUUGGCAGGCUGUCCCCGCACUUCAUUUAAAAUUUUCAGCUUUAAUAUCAUUUGUUCUUGUGCCAGCAUCAUAAUUUAGUUUAAACAAUUCUCUUUUUCCUCUGAUCUUUACCUAUCAGAUAUAUUUACUGAAAACAAUCCUAUCUCCUCUAGCCUUUGUUUUGAAAAACUAAACAAAUGAAAGUCUUCUAGUCUCCUCUUGUUCUAAACCCUCUGAUCAUCCUCAGUGCCCUUCUCUGUACCUGCUAAUCUUCCUCAAACAUGAGUGAACCUGUACCUUCAAGGAUUGUGUUUGCCUCUCCAUAUCAGAUUGGUGGCUCACAGUUAUCCCUGGGAGCAAGUAAGCUCUGCGGUUUUUUUUCCACCCCCCUGCCUUUGUCAUCUUUAAGUGAGUAAUAUGAUAUUCUAGUUAUUAAUUUCUAUCUGCACGUCUUACUACUUUGUCCAUUCUAUUUCAGAUGAAUUCUGUCAUUCACUCAUUGCUGACUGAUGUUCCGAUCAUCCUCUGUAUUAAGAAAGCCCGUGUCCUCAGCAGAUUUCUUUACUACAUUCCUGCUGCUGUGCCAGACUCAUUAAUGAAACAAGCAAGACUGAACUCAACACUGACUCCUGAGGAGUUCCACUUACUGACUGCCUCUGUCUGGCAUUUCUUCUCUUCUCACAGCUCCCCUUUCCUCUGCACUUUUAACAGUUUUGCAUUCACCAUCCACACUAAUCCCCAUCGUCUCAACUUCAACUAGUAAUUUCCCCUGUGGUAUAAUAUCAGAUUCUUCACUCAAGUCUGGAUAGAGUAAAUCACCUGUAUUUCAUUUACCUAAAAAAAAAUCAGUCAUCAAAGAGAAAUAUCAGGGUAAGCUGAACUCAUUUCAUGUGCCAAAUCCUGGGAUGGAAAUCUGCCAGUGCACCUUCACCUGAGCACACUGAAUUCUUCAUGCCUUUCUUUCCACCUUACAUGCAGUGAUUUUCAUUCCCUUACGUAUAUUCCCACUAGAAAUCCUGUCUUUGUCCCACUGCUCAAUAUGAUCAUCUCUACUGAAUAUGUGGACAAGGUGUUUUUAAUUCAUUUUUAGACUAUAUGUAGUUGGGUCUAAUCUCAACCCCAUUCUCACUCCGUAACGACCACGUUUCUCCUCUUUUUAUUUCACCAGUUGAAACCCUCUGCCAUCUGUUCUAAUUUCAAGUCCAAUUCGCGAGCUCACCUUUGACGUUUCAUUCUGUCUCUACCUUCCCCAUCCCAGCAACUUCAAAUUGGACGACUGAGGCAAAUCCUGCCUCCAGUCUUCUGCUCCACCACUUCUCUCCAAUGCCACCUUUGUGGCAGUAACUCAUAAGGCAGGUCCAGAACUGCUGCCCUGAACACAUCACUGGAGUAGUGGCUGUUCAGGAACUGCAGGGUAAGCUGCUUUGUCAGCCCUGUGAUAAGAGUGAUGGACUCCAUCAAAGAGCAGAGCAGAGCAUCGUACUCUGUAGCAGUUCCUCUCCAGACAUCUGAUUUCAAUCCCUAGCUGCAUGCCAGCAGAAUACCCUCAUGCCAGUCAGAACUUCUGCAUGUCAGUUAAUGCUCCCCAUGUGUUUGGGGCUGGUUAUUUAUCCCACUGGGGUUGGAGCAUUUCCUGUCAGGGUUAAACUUCCUGCAUGUUUCAGCUACUUUUGGAAUCCAAGUUCCAUCACAUUCAAUUCCUCAGCUCUGCAGUGCAGCUGAUUCCACUAAUUAGCUCCCUUAAUUUCUCAACAUUUGCCCUCUUUGAGAUGAGUUUGUGUGUCACUACAGACGGUGCUGAAGAUUCAGUCCUAACAAGGUGCCUUUAAAAGCUGUGUUUCUUACCCAGAGUCCUCAGAGGCUUUGGCUGACUCACAACUUGGUGCUUUAGAGGCUGUGAAAGAACUGCACUCUCCUUUGUGCAUGAGGUACAAUCUUAUCAUUGCUCAGUAUUAUUCAGCAUUUUCAUUCUGUAUCCAACUGAGACAAUAAAGAGCCUAAAAGGCCACAUUUCAAAACAUACUGCACUGGAUGGAGAGUCCAGUUAAGUCCCUAAAGUGAAGUCCAACGCUUCCUACCCCCACCAUGAUCACUGCAGCACUCUGCUAACCAGCUCUAAUUACCAGAACGCAGGAUGCCCGUACCUGCCUAUUUGCUUUGAAUUCUGCUAAUUUCCUGCAGAAAGCAAAGCCCAUCCAGACUGCAGCUGACCAGUCUGUGACGUGCAGACAGGUAGCAGAGGCCUAGCUUAGACUGUGCUUAGACCAGCACAAGAAGAGAGAGCCAUGUCCACAAGGGACUUCUGAAAAACGCAAAGCACCUUUAAAAAUCCAGGCCUUAUUGCCAGGACUCCGCAUGUGACACAUGUCCUCUCUUUACCUGCUUCCUCCAGAGCGGCAGCAGCACGGCCCUCUUCCCAAGCCAGCAUGCAGGUGAUACAGCCAUAGUGCUGGGGCCACGUUGCUAUCUGAGAUAGAUGGAAGCUGUCUUCUGCUGCCAAACUGGUGCACGUUCAAACUCUGUAGAAAGAGCUGAAAUGGCAGAGCAAAGUAAAUUUCUCUCCUCCUCUCCCCUCUCUUUCAAGGGGAGCAAAUACGCCCCUUUCCCAAAACACGUCUGCCUUGAAUGCUCCCUGCUCUGCUGGGCACCUACUGACCUUGGCACUGUCACAGGACUCGUGUUUUUCUGAAAGAGUAACCUCCUUGUCAAGAGGCUUAUUGCUUUGGGAAACACAAAGCAGUCUUGUCCUCCAAGUGUCCAAGCCUUCUUUUCACGUCUGUUUAUUCCUUCACUAGCAUUUAUUUUUGGCCCUCAAAAAAAACAACCACACAACUCCACAUUAAAGGGAUGGCGUCCAGUUAAAACCCACAUGCUGCACCACCCCUUCACACCCCUUUGCAGGGGAAGGCAGCAAAGGAGACCAACAAAAAAACUCAAGAAAAACUGUCUCCUGUUGGGCACAAAACUGCCUUUGCUUUCUAGUGAAAAGGCAGCAGAGCAUCCUCAGAACCACAGAGCACAUUGGUCAAAUAGGCCAAAUCCUGCAUGCCUGAGGCUUGUUUGUAUAUACAAUCAAAAAUUCAAGGGCCAAAUUUCCAUUUGUCCUGGAAAAUCUUUCUAGUUGGUAUUAUAAAAGGAGCCCAGGAGAGCAAGAUGCCAAUGUCCCACAAUGUCAUACUGAGUUUGCGGCGUGUGUAACUCUUGGGCAAUCCCAGCCUUUGCAACACAGCUUAUCAAGGAUAUAAAAUCAGAAAGGCAGUUUCAUGCUGCUUCUAUGCUGAUUCCACACCUGUUUGGGCUACUAGAGCAAGAACAUGGCUUCUUAUGCAGUAUAGAAAAGCUUAAGAGGAGCAGCAGGUGAUUGUUGCCUCCUGAGGCCGGUGCCAGCUGUGCUUAACCGCUGCUCAAGGCCAGUGUUACGGCAAACAAAAGCACUUAGGCCACCAGCAGAGUAUGCUCACCUGUUUGACUUUGCAGAGAGGUAAUCACAGAGCCAGUGCCAGCUUUGUGCCUGCCACCUCCCAACUGAGAGCUGUGACUGUGUGUGGGCUGAUGCAGCUGCAGAAGGACUGUCUAAGGGCUCACAAAGCUGAAGUCCGAGGCACAAAGUUCAAGUCCAAGGUCCUGUAUUGACAGUGUGUGUGGUCAAGACCUGCGUUCCUGUUGGAAGACGGAGAGAAGGAAAGCAGGACUGCAUCUUGAGCUCUUUGUACUGGCUCUGCAAGAGCAAUUGUGCUCACUGGCAGUAUCUAUGACUUGGACCACCCAGCAGCAUCCAGCACCCCAGAUCAUGUAGCUGUGCUCCAUUCCUUUAGCACAAUGACUGAGUUGGGCACCUGAGGACAAAGUCAUUAAAGCAGUCUGCUCUCAAGACCUAUGUGACAGCAACUGCAUCGCUGUCUGCUUUCACUGAAGUCAGCGGGACUCUGGCCACAGGCCUGAUUCAUCUAUCUCCUACAUCAGUAGAUUAUCUUUCAAGUCCAUUGGCUCCUAUGAAAUUAGAGCUGUCAAGCCCUGGAUGUACACUAUGGCAUGGUUCAGUCAAAAGAAAUGGGGGACAUGAUGGAAAUUGAAACCUCUGGAAAGACUUGGACUAUCUUGUAUGCUUAUCAAGUCAGUAGAAUAUUAAUGCUGUAUCCAUCACUCAGAGUAAUGGCUUCUGGAUGCUUGGCUGACUUUGGUAAGGGGCACUUUGAGAAGAAUAAAACUGCAUUUUCACUGCUGAGAAUCUUCCUACAACAUACAAUGUGGCCCAAGGGAUGCUGACAACCUACUGGUAUUGUCUUCAGAGACUACAUAGGGGCUAACACUGCUAAACUGUAUAAACAAGUGCUUACCCCAGAAUAUCAUUUGAGUCCAGACAGGAUUUACAAACGCAGAGACGGCCAGAGGUGGGCUGUCCUUCCAUCAGUCUGUGAAUCUACAAAGAAAAAAGAAGAUGAUUUUGUAUUCUUUCAAUUACAUAUAGAACAUAAUUAAAGUAAUCACAAAAACAGAUGCAUGAUAUCAGUAACUGGCAAAUUAAGAAUUCGGUCAUGGUUGUCCAGGAACUCGCAGCCUCCGUGCAAUACCAAUAAUAAUUAUUUAUAGCCUACUAUGCAAGGAAAUUAGUCCAGGAAAACUGUCUGCUUAUAACAUAAAGAGUCACCCCAAGGGAGAAGUUCAGUGCAGUGUGCAAGGAGCAAGACAUCACACCAUUUUCUUGUCUAGUAUUAUAAACUUUACUGCAAGUAGCAUUUGUGUAUUUUGCAGAGAAUGUCUCGGUUCCCCUGUAACAAAUGCCUGUUGUAUUCCUGCUGAGUUUCAUUGAAUUUACUCUUGAUUUAUACUUAAGAUCAGAGGCAGAUCCAUGUUACUUCUUUCUAUAUAAAUCCCUGAGCUGCCUAUUCACAAGGAUGAGCAACUUCGCAAAAGAAUGAGUUGAGAGAAUGAGCUGGGUGGCAGACUAACUAUUAGAUCUGAUGGCAUUACCAUAGCAUCUGGAGAAGCUAAAUGCAGUGCUAACUCAAGGUACAAGAAAGCUUCAGCCCUUGAAAAGAGCUAACAAAGACAAAGCACAGAAAGUGGGAGGUAGCAAAGAGGCACGGAGAAGAGAAGCGGCUGUGCAGCAACACACAGCAGGGAACCCAGAGGGGCAGGAGCAGGGCCCUGUCUCUCAGCACCCUCCAGCUUCACACUGCCUUUUGGUCCUUUCUGCAUGUGGACCUCAUGCAUCUUUAAUUAAAAGCACAAUCCAAAAAUAGAAAAUCUUUUUUUUGUCAAGGGAACUCCUGCUCUGCAAGUUAUUUCCUGUGAUUAAUACCUGCCUCCUCUGCUGAAGACAUCCAUCUCUGCGUGGAUCAGGUUCUAGUAAAGCAAAGCUCACCUCUUAGGAAAGAGAGCUUUCCAUUCUGUUUCUGCUAACAUUCCUCCUCACCACUGUCCCUGCUUGGCCCUGCAAUCAUUUUAUGAUGCAGCCCAACAUAACUCACAGUACUUCCCAUUACUGUAUGCCACCAGUGUUAGCAGAGCCCUUUUUGUGGUAGAUAGCAGCCUUCAGACACCCCGUGUUUCCUGUUCAACUGGAGCCAAUCACACAUUAUUUGGUACUGAAAGUCCCUAAUUAAUUUACACACAACAAGGCCAUUGUAACGAUAACGUAAUGGAGAUCGGCCCAUUAGCAAAAAGUGUGGAUAAAUUAUUUUCUUUUAAUGCUUCCAUCAAUAUUAAGACCCAUUAAUCAUAUUUUAAAAAACCAACUUUAAACAUACACACUAUUUGUAGGCAUUUCUGAUAGGAUGCCUGGCAGCCCUGCCUUUCAGCAAGGAAAUCUCUGCCAUGUUCUGAGCAGAACUGGAUUUUUACUGCACAGAAGAUAGCACAACUGGUCCAACUCCUCUGAUAUCCUCUCUAUAAAGUGAGAAUAUAACAGUUUUAACGAAAAGGAAAUCAACAUUAAAUGCAAUAUAUUCUGAAGGAGGGAAAAAUUCCUAGCAGCUGCUGAAAGGAAAGUGAAAUUCAUAAAUUCCUCUUUCAUCUUUAUCAAAUUACUAUUCAGUACAGUUACAUUUAUUAAUAACAACAUCCCUUAAACCACAUUGUGAAAAUCCAUUAGCAAGAAAUGCUUUAAAAUGUACAACAGGCUGCAACAGAUGGUUUAUCAAAGGCUGAAACAAUUCAACAGUAUAAGCAGAGCGGGCAUUUUUAUGGGCUGCUGAGCGUGCCAGAGUAUCAUUGUGACACAUCCACAAGUGGGCUGUUUGUGUUGUGUAACUAAAACUUUCUCUUGAAUCCAGUAAUCCACAUAACCAAGAGCUAAUGCAAACUCGUUCUGUGCUUUGGAUGUUUUCCCCAUACGUACCUGUGCCUGGAAAUGCUGCCAGCAGUUUCAGAGCUGAGUGCAGCACUGAGCAGGCAGUGCCACAGCCCUCACUGCUCACAGAGGGAAUGCGCACUGACUUCUCCAUAACAAACCCUAAUGAGAAGAAUCCUCAGAGAAGUCAUAACUAUUCCCAUGAGAGUCAACCCUUGCAGGACCAGCCUGGAGCCAAUCACUGUAUCACUCUUUAAUUUUUCAACACAAUUUGCCCUGGAAGUUUACAUAUUCCCUUCUUCUUUUCUUGAUUUUUUAAAAGCCAACAGUUUGAAUGUCAAUCACUGAGAGGGUAUGAGGCGAAAUCCAGAUGAGGGAUUUUGUCAUCGUCCUCAUGGCAGAAGCUGCCAGCCAUGCCCAUUGUGCACAUCCUGCACCACUGGAGCCGUGUGUGCAUCCCGGGAGGGCUGUUACAGAAGGGCUGCUGCCUUGCCCUGCUCUCGGUCGCUUCCAGUUUGCAGCAGAGAACAAUAAUGGCACAGACAGCGCAGCAUUGCUGUGCGCUCGUUCCCCAGCAGUGACUGUAUCUGUCACAGCCUCCUGCUGUAUCAGGGCAAUGAUAUUUCUGAAGGCAUUUUCUUUGUUGCUGAACAAGGCAAAGUCUGAGUUGGGGAAUACAGGAGAGGCGAAGGGACAGAGCGAGGGAUGUGUCUGCAGCUGGGUACAAGUGCACAGCAGUGCUGGCAGAUCAGCCUACACACAUUCUCCUUCCAGAUCUGAUAAUUCCCUACUUCUAUAAAAACACACCCAAGGCAGGGGUCACAAGGUGCCUAAGGUAGAUACGCAGUCUGCAGCUAAAUGCAUCCCAGUUCCCUGGAGGGAGAAGUCCCUUCAAAUCCAUCAGCUGUACAUGUAUCUCACCUCAGCAGGACGGGCAGGCUGUGCCACCACCAACAGCUCACUGGCUUCAUCCGUCCCCGCAGUGUGUUCCACUUAGGAGGGCAAAAGGAUGGCAGAACAAAUCAGUGGCAGAAUGUAUCAUCUGUAAUCACACACAAGUCAACUUGUUAAACUGAUUGAUUUCUGUCCCAACUGAGGUUGUAACUCCAUGAUUACUUUUGACCGAGCACAGCUAGAAAACACAUAAUUACAUGGGCCAAAGCACAGAGAAUGGUGCCCACUGCUUUGCUGGUAAAGUGCAGCACAUGAGGGGAAAAGAACCACUUGGAAAUGAAGUGUACAUUCACACCUCACCACAUCCUCACAGCAGAGUUUCUGGCUUUCAGGCUUGGGUAGCAUGAAAGGCGAAAAUUUCUCAGGAGCAAUGAUGGAUUGCGUGGCAUGAAACACUGCAAAUGGUGUCAGUGCUGGGGAUGGGGGUUCCACCAUCCAGCCAGAUGAAAGCAGUCCAGGCGAACGCUGGUGAGACAACACUUGGCACCUUGCAGGAACGAUCUUUCUUGGCUGUAAUCUCCCCCUCCUGGGGCAUUUCCAGUUUUCUCUGUUGUUGACCUGCAGUGAUGGAGCAAAGGGGUUGGACAUAGAUGGUGCUCUGAGCAGGAGUCGGGUCUGCCGGAGUGGGAACAGCUGUGGGGCUGGGAGGGAAACAGAGAUGGGAAUGAGACAGAUACACUUCCCCUCUGGGAGGAUGGGCUCAGGCAGCCUGAGGAAAAUAAGGCUAAAAUGAAAGGGAGGAAACCAGAGAAGAGAAGAUGGAACAAGGGAGAUCACAGAGAACAACAGGAAGCAGUGCUGAGAUGUCAGACAUGAAGGCUGGGCUUGUAGGAGAAAAGCAAACAGAGAGUAAAAAAAAAAUCAGGAUUAGUGUGCAAAAGACAGAAAAAUUUUUUUUAAAGUCCUAUAAAAGUGCCAACUACCCAGCUGCAGUAAGUGAAACUCCAGUACACUUACGUCAACACCACACCACAGAUCAGCACCAGGGGAGGAGGUCUGGGGUUGUUUUUUAAUUGCUUGGAAAGGCUUUCAGCGAUGCAGAACAUGAACUCCAGCUUCCACUGAUGUCAAAGGGAUUUAAAAGUGCUCACAGUCUCUCAAAACCAAGACCCAAGUUGUCAAAGUACACGAGACAAGAUGCUGCAUUAAUCCCUCGAGAAGAGCCAGCUUUGCACACUGCCUGACCCGCACCUCGAUGCCGACACACCUCGAUGGCACACAUGUGGCAGGGACAGGGACACAGCCCAGCUCUGCCCACCCCAUGCCAGGCUUUUGCUUUGCUCUCCCUGAUGAGCAGCGAGGCCCUUGGUUUGCACAGCCAGGCGUGAGUAGGGGUAAGAGGCAUCCGCUUUGCUGGUUGAAGUGAAAUGUUUGGCUUAUUGGCACAGCUUGUUUAGAUUGGCUCCUAGCACUCAGUCAAUGUUAUUAGAGAAAGCAAUAAAAAUGCAUUAAAUACUAGGAACUACAUUAAAACAACAUGGAGCAUGCAACACAAACCAAGAAAAGCAAGAAGCAAGGGGCUGAGUAUGGAGUCUGCCAUUCCUUCAGUCAUGAGUAUGAAUAUGGUGGAGCCAUGUCACAACGACAUUUGAAGAGGUAGAGCUGGUGAGUUCUUGCAUGCUGCAACAUGGAAGAUUUCAUCCCCUUUUCCUCUCCAAACCACAGCUUCUAGAAAGACUUUGAAAUGCUGCAGUCAGCUCCUACGCCUCCCUGCUGAGCUCCUUCCAGACUGAGCUCUUAAAUUUGCUACGUUUUUGCCAAGACCUAAUUUUCUUUUGACCACGUAUGAAAGGGCAGAUUCCCAUGCCACAGGGAGGGACUGUGAGAUGUCAUCAUGGACACAUCUGUCACCUGUCUGGUUGGAGCUCAUUGCUCUACCCCACUUCUGCAGCUCCGUCAGACAUCUUAGUUUCUUCUUUGGUCUUGAGAUAGGACUCCAGGGGCUCUGGGAUCCCUAACUUAUCUGUUCUGUUAACUGAUUUCAGCCAUAGCCAGAUCCUCACUUUUCUACUGUACUAUGAAAAUCACAACUGCAUGUUACGCCUGGUUGAACAGCAAGGUGAUUACUGUAAAGCCUGGAUUUCCCAAGGGAAUAAAGCUUUACAUGGAGCGCUGUGUGAGCCCAAUGUGUGCAAGUAGUUCUUGAUCGUGUCAGACUAUUUCAAGGAGACAGAGAGGAGGAUUUCUCAGAGCCCCGAAGGUCCCAGACAGGCAGAUGACAGACGGAGGACACGGACACCAUUAGCAUCCCCUGAGGAAAAGACAGCAGUGAAUGCUCCCUCUAUACCAGAUAGCAGAGAUGCCACAAAGGUGAGUGCUGUUCAUUCAACUCACUGAUCACGAAAUUACUCAUUAAUCAUCUCUUUGUGUGAUCACCUUCUAAUGCCACUCACCUGCCCCAUCUGCCUAGGGCUGCACCCUGCACAGCUGUCCGGUAACCACCUUCCUCACCCAGCUGCCCAUCACCUCCAAGGCCUCCAGCAGGGAUCCAUCCGUGUGUUGCUGCAGCAGCACAGCAGAGAAACCGGAGAGAGGAUCAACACACAAGGCAACAGGAGCUGCAGCAGGGCAACAGCUGUCCCUCAGCACAUCCAUUGUUCUUGUGCAGAGAAGCAGCUUUAAGAAAGUGGUGUAAAUUACAGGAACUGGAUCACUGGCUUGAACAAUGUCAGCACGUCCCUUCGAGGGCAUUCACUCCCCCCACGCCAUGAAAAGACAAGUUAUUAUUUAACAGCAGACCUCACACAGAGGAAUGUUUUUCUGUAUUCAUGACCUCUAACAAGUAUAGCAAUUGUUUACUAUACUCUGAGUGAUCCAGAAGGAGCUAUAAUGUGAUAAUUAUAGAGAAACCUUCCUAAAAAUAUAUAUCUGAUGCAUCAGCAAAAGCUCAGCAGGCCCCUCCAGCUGGCACUGUACAUAUGAGUUAAACCCAAUUUGAGAAUCAGAUCAUGCACUACAUUUUGUGCAGCUGUGCAAAGACUCCAACCAGAAGUUCUGGAGCAGAUGUCUUGUAAAGGAGGGAAGGACAUGAAGAAGAAGAGAAACAGAAGAGGCCAAGGCCACGUUUCUUGAUUGAGUGGUCAGCGACAUAGGAAAGUAUCAGUUCCACUUUCAAGCUGGAUAAACUGAGGCUCUGGAAAUCAGAACACUGGCAUUUUCUAAUCUGCUCACUGACUGGUUGGUGUCUGAUCUUCGAGGUCCAGCUUGACUCCAGGCUGUGCCUGCUUCCUCACAACUACUGAGCCUCUGCACUGUUCAUGAAGGGAUACGAUUCAUUAUGAUCAUUUUUUAUAUUUGUAUACCUGCUCUGUGCUCACCGUUUCCAAACCCCAGCUCAUGCACUUGGAAGAAACACGCAGAAAGGCUUCGGGACGUUCCUGCCUUGUAGCCAAAGCCACUGAAAAGUCAACCUGCUGCUGCUGCCCAGAGGUGCUGACCUAACUAACCCCUCUGCUGCUGGUUCCGCUGAUCAGACUGUGAAGGGAAGCCAGGGCACAGGUGUUUGUUUUCUUCGCCCAGUGCAGCACUUUUCUGGAGACAAGCUGGGACUUCACAGUCUCUGUAGCUCCUUGGCAGCAUCUACAUUCUCCUGUGCCUCAGUUUCCUCACCUACAGAAAGGCCCAGAUGACAAACCCUGAACCAAGGGCUGUGUUAAAGUUUGGAAAACACACAGCACCUUGAAAGAGGGCUUCUGUGGAAGCACAAACAGUCAUUUAUUGCUUCAAUUAAAAAGCGUGUGCCACAAUCCACAGUCUGUUUAUACUUACACUUCUUAUGGAUAUCUCUCUGAAAAGAACCCAGCCUUGGUAGCUCAUGGAUUUGGCACUGCACACCAAAUAAUAAGCAGGCUCACCAACCCUUCUACAACACACAGUGCUUCUGUGUAACUUUGCAGGCUGUGUUUGACUUGUCUGAACUUGAACAGUCACCACUGAUUGAUUGGCUUCUAAAAAUACACGUAUGCCAUGGUUCGGAGUCCAGAGAGCUCCUGUUGAUUUAGAUGGAGACCUUGCUGGGAAGAGGCUAAGACAGACACCUGACACCAGGGUGCUACCAUUGCGGCCACGUGCUGCCUCCUGUGCAGGGUGCUCUGAACGCGGAGCUCCGCGGUGCUCAACAGCCCUCCAUACCUGUGAGUGGGGAAAAAAGCAGGAAGAAAGCAGCCCUACGGAUCCCUUCCCUUCCUACAACUCCAUUUCCAGGCUGCCCUGCAGCUGUUGGUGAAAAGUGGAGCGAAGCUGCACACAUCCUGCUGGAGGGCUGAGCUCAGGCACUGAGUCCCUGCAGCUCCCAGCGGUCGAGGGAAUGCUCAGUGCCCUGCUGAGCUGGGAGGGCUCCCAGGGGCAGGGAUGUGACUGCUGCAAGGGAGAUGCAUUGCACUGUACCCUGGAGGAGGCCGCAAGCACGUGAUUAUUGCAACAGAAGCCGCUAGGAGAAAAACCAGAUUACCGUUUUCCAUUGAAGAAGCCAGCGCCCUCUCUUCAGCUCUGCCACACUGAACAUCCCACACGGCCACUUCUGUGUCCCUCACAGUCCAGCCGUCUUCUGAGUCCUGCUUCGGAUUUCUCCUUCCCAAAGACAGAUGAUGGGAGCUGGCUGUGACUUUCCAGACGGAGGCUGAGCAGUUCCUUGUAUGGUGGCAGGAGUGCUUCCCCAUCUUUACUGGAAAUAUCUUGCCUAAUAAACCCGAUGAUCUCA
This is a long non-coding RNA of Centrocercus urophasianus (Greater sage-grouse), 18365 nucleotides long. RefSeq lists it as uncharacterized. The record is from RefSeq and is a predicted model, not a curated record. The transcript has 7 exons. NCBI's taxonomy places the organism in Eukaryota, Metazoa, Chordata, Aves, Galliformes, Phasianidae.